GUUCCGAUAGUUCAAUCGGGUAAUUGACGACCUCUGCGGCGCGACGGGCGAAGGUUCGCCUGCGACGCAGGGGGUUGCGGGUUCGAUUCCCGCCUCGGAACA
Molecule: transfer RNA, 102 nt
Filed under: Operophtera brumata (winter moth)
Lineage: Eukaryota; Metazoa; Arthropoda; Insecta; Lepidoptera; Geometridae
Rfam family: tRNA
About the family: Transfer RNA (tRNA) molecules are approximately 80 nucleotides in length. Their secondary structure includes four short double-helical elements and three loops (D, anti-codon, and T loops).
Source: Rfam by way of RNAcentral